CUCUUAUUGUAGUAUAAUGGACGAUGUAAUAUUGUUUCAUCUGGUUGUUGGUAAGUAUCUCUACGUCUCCAUCUAAUCUGUUCUUUAUUGCUUUCGUCACUUUUGUCUCAUAGCUUGAAUCUCAGUUGUUAGUUGAUUAAUUCUUGCAGUAAGCUGUUGUAUCUGUUUAUUUUCUAUGGUUGUCUGAUGUUUCGGUUUUAUGGGUGACUUCUUUUCCGGUGUGGUUUCUUUCUUUGGACCUAGAUUG
Molecule: long non-coding RNA, 247 nt
Filed under: Mytilus galloprovincialis (Mediterranean mussel)
Lineage: Eukaryota; Metazoa; Mollusca; Bivalvia; Mytilida; Mytilidae
Source: RNAcentral